CUAUUUUUAAAGGACCACGUCUUAUUCUUUGUCUCCUGAAAGCACAGCCCAGAACACAGGAGACGCUCCACCAAUAUUUGUGCACUGAAUAAAGGAAUGAAGGAAACCUUCAGGCCUUCCCUCCUCAGAAGAAUCCUAAAAGGAACUUGAUUCAGGGAAAGACUUCAACUCAAAGGGGCUGGUAGGCCAUUUUAAAUGGAACACAUGGAAGGCCAGCUUCAAAGGUAUUGCCUACCUGAACCUGCCUUGUCCCAAAGGACACACUUCAGUCUGGGGAGAGUUUAAGCUUGUAGACAUAUCCAUUUUCAUUUAAGGAAUAUGAAGAUCAGGAAGGCAAAAUAUAGAGAGGAAAAACUGAGAGAUGAUCAGAAAUUCAGACGCAUUCUGGAAUGAGCACCCUUGACCAUACCAAGAACAAAAACUCUAUAAAAAUGUGAAGUCUUGUUAUUAUUCGUUCAUGUUCUACGUGGGAUCCACCCAAGACAUUGAAAACUGUACAGAACAGGGUGAAAUUGAAUCAGAUCAUUCUGUACUCCUAACACGGUCCACCCCAUGAGAGACUUGCAGCAGAAUUAAUGACACUGUAUAUUUUCCUCUACUAACAACAACAACAACAACAACAAUCUAGGAAAAUCAAAGGCAGCCUGACAUGGAAAAUAACACAAAAUGAAUAUUUGGAUUACAAAUAGUAUGAUGGGAAGAACACACUGCCAAAAGUCCACCUAAUAUGUUGAAAUUACUGUUUCUAGCACAUAUAAGAUUUGCUGCCAAUUUGUACUGACUUCUGAAAAAUACUUUAUCCAUUGUCUUCUUACAUCAGAAUCAACUCCCUAAAUUCUUCAGCACUGGCUUUGUAAACUGGUUUCUGGUCUUUGUUUCUGUCAACUUACCUAUAAAAGGAUACAAAAACUGAAGAACAGAGAGGAGCAGAUACCCUGGAAAGCCGAAGGUUUUAUUGACCAAAGACUGACCACUCAUUCUGGGAGAAAGCAACUGCUAUGUCAUGAGGAAAUUGAAACCUAUGGAGAAAGGUUUUUCACCUAUGAAGAAAGGCCCACAUGGUGAGAAAGUAAAGCCUCUUCCCAAUACCAAGUGAGUGAGUUAUACUAAAAAGGGAUCCUCCAGCCCCAAUCAAGUUUUCAUGUGACUGCAGCCCCUGUCAGCAUCCUAACUGCAACCUCAUAAAAGACCCUAGCAAUGGCCGGGUGUGGUGGCUCAUGCCUGUAAUCCCAGCACUUUGAGAGGCUGAGGCAGGUGGGUCAGCUGAGGUCAGGAGUUCAAGAUUAGCCUAGCCAACAUGGUGAAAACCCAUCUCUACUGAAAAUACAAAACAUUAGCUGGGUGCGGUGGCAUACACCUGUAGUCCCAGCUACUCGGGAGGUUGAGGCAGAAGAAUCCCCAGAACCCAGGAGGCAGAGGUUGCAAUGAGCCGAGAUCGUGCCAGUGUACUCCACCCUGGGUGACGGAGUGAGACUCUGUCUCAAAACAAAAAGGACCCUAGCAAGGACCCCUUAACCAAACUGCUCCCAAAGCCUUGGCCCACAAAAAUGUGAGAUAAUAAUUUAUUUUUUUAGGCCACUAGGUUUUGGCAUUAUUUGUUUUACACCAAUAGAUAACUGA
Molecule: long non-coding RNA, 1620 nt
Organism: Pongo pygmaeus (Bornean orangutan)
Lineage: Eukaryota; Metazoa; Chordata; Mammalia; Primates; Hominidae
Exons: 5
Source: RefSeq, a predicted model, not a curated record